This 2336-nucleotide unclassified non-coding RNA is filed under the name Hevea brasiliensis (rubber tree). Lineage: Eukaryota; Viridiplantae; Streptophyta; Magnoliopsida; Malpighiales; Euphorbiaceae. The record is from RNAcentral.
UUCUUUCAUUUUUUUUUUUUUUGUUUAAUUCAAAGCCAAUCCCUUUCCAAUCCACUGGCAUGCAACGACACGAAGGUAAACUAUUACCAAUUUCCUAAUUCACGAGGAGAAGAUGGUGGCUGUGCAGUAGCGUAGCUAUUUGCACUAUGAAGAAAAAAAAUCCCCUCCCUGUUUGGUCAACAACUAAAGUAUGAUGAAAUUCCCGGUUGGUCAAAGAUAGUGUUGGAGACAGUGUUGGCUAACGUGUAUCUCAAGGAAGAAAGGGGAGAAAUCAAGUACAGUCAAACAAUCAAACCAACCGUUGUCCAAGCGUUCAACGGUGCAAACAGCAAGGGCAAUUCCAGGCACUCAAUAAUGUUGGAUGAAGCAGCAAUUCUGAGAUAAGGAACAUGCAGCAACGUGAUGUACCAAUAAAAACACAAGCUAUACAAUAUGUAAAAAGCAGUCUUUUGUGAUUGUUGUUGUAUAACCUCUCUAAAUAUAAUCAAAAUCCCGUUCAGCAUUAUGAACAAGCACCUGCAAAGAAAAACAGAGGUGGGCAGUCCAGUUUAAUGUAGGUUGGAGCAGCAACAAGUAGAAACUCAUCCCAAAACAAAUGAGUUAAGAUUAUAUGCCCUAAAUACAAUGGAAACUUAUUUUUUAGAGAACAAAAGAAAACAAAUGCACAUUCAAAGCUGCAAUUUUGUAAUGCUUUUACCUUGCAGCAGUCAUGAAAGUAGCUAAGACAAUAAUGACCAUUUACCAUGAGGUUUAUCAUUACAGAACACCCACUUUCAUUCAAGUUGGAGGCUAUACAUCUUUCAAAUAUAUACACAAGCCAAAACAUCCAAAUACAUUUUCUUUAUUGUUCAUGUUAUGAACACCUAUAGGCUAUAACCACGACGACAACUGGUAAACAACAGAAAUUUUUAAGUAAGAAAUUCCCAUGUUGGCAUCAAAAUGCUACUACAAUUUAGGUCUGCAUAACAAAGGGUUGCAUAAUGUUAAUAAUAAUUCACUUAUAACAUAUCUAACUAUUCAAUCUUGUUCAAUGAACAAAAAUUUAAGGUAAAAUAUAAAAGAAUAAAUCUUUAAAAUUCUUGAACAAACAACAAAUUUGCUGAAAAACACUAACUCCUUAUCCAAUGAUUGAACAACAGAGCUCAUAUUGAUAGUUGGCACAAUUUAGGCCUCACAGCCAAACUCACUACUCAGAAGCACUGUAGAUUUGUUUGGAAUUACAGAAAUCAUAUAAUAACUCAUGCUAGUACCAGAAAAGGAGUAUUCCCAAUUGAAACAGAAAAUAUAUGUCUACCAGGGUUAAAGGGAGCAAAAAUGUUUGUGAAAGGAAAAGUGACAUUAUAACUGCUUACCCAACUAAGACAUAAUAGAAUGUUUGUGUCACCUGGUAGUUUCAAUCCAUUUUUGAGAAAAUAAUUAGAAUAUCUACUUGUGGCUUCUAUUUGCAAUGCAGAGCAGUACACCAAUAGUUCAACCUUACAAAUGAUUCUGGAUCACAUUAGGGAUCAAUAAAAGUAGAGUUGUGUCUAUCCAUGUAUUUAUUUCUUAAUGUUUAAUCCUGAUAUAAUAUUGCCAUAUUCUGCAAAUAGAGCAAAAGAAAUCGGACUGGAAACACAAUGGUGAUGAUAUUUCCAGCCUGGGUUAAACUGUAGGUAGCAAAAGCUUUCGUCUAUAAAGCAGGAAAGUACAAAGUAUACCAGCAAGCAACUAUGCAAGGUACACAGAACUAUUAAAUUCCCUACAAGUCCUACCACACAAUUGGAACUCUUUGGGCAAAAACGUAAUCGAAUGAUAACACAAAAAGCAAUCAACCUACUUCAGGCAAAAAUUUGAAGUAUAAAAUCCAAGCUAGCAAACAUAUAAUUGCCAAAAUUAUUGUCAAAUUUCAAAUUCCCAAGUAAAGACCAAACCCACUGUUACAUUAAUCAAGAGCUAACUUGCAAUCAACAACACCAUCAUAAUUGAAAAUGACUACCAAACCUGCUUAAUCUUCAAUGUGCCUUUCUUCUCUGGGGUUGUUUAUCAGUAGCUAACCUGUAUAUCCAGUAAACCUAACACACAUAUAUAUAGAGAGAGAAAUCAAAGAUGUGCAUUCCAAUUUGGUUAAAUCUAAGAGAUUGAAACAAUGAAAUGAGAGUACCAAAGCGAGGACGUGAGCUGCUAUUAGAAGAACCACCAAAAGAGGUACCAAAUCGAGAAACCACGGGCGCAUUAUUGAGUCCGCCAUUUUUUGAGAGAGAGCUAGAGAGGUGAAGAUAAUCUCUGAACCCAGGGUUUUCAAAUUCGCUUCGACUUGGUAAAGAAGAAAAUAUUGAGGGGUUUAUGCCAAUUUGUUU